GUUAUAUUCACUGUGACAAAAGUGAUCGACUCCCAUAGAGUUGUUUUCGCAACUGGCAGUGCCAAAUGACCCCUAGCGUCAGUGCUGAUAACUGGUGUUAAUUACUAAGGUAUACAAUUUCACUCUAUUAGUAUAGACAUUUACUCAGUAAGUGUAAACAGCAUCACAACCCCGCACAUAAGUUCAGUUUCUGCGUUCAAAUUUCCUUUUCGCGACACCAUUGUUGGAUCAACAAAAUCCUAAUUUGUUCCACGACAACUGCUUACUAUAUAUUGAAGACUAAUCUGAUUUAAGAAUCUUCCCUGAUGAGUCCUGUCUCUGCCAGUUCUGUGAUCGGUGGUUCAGACCAUGAGUCGGAUGAUACAAUAAUUUUGAGUGAUGGAAGCUCCUCACGACAGCAUCAAAGAUCUGAUGACGAAGCAAAAAAUGUACGUUUGUAAUUCAUUCUUCAAUUCACUUGCCAUCAAAGCUAAUAGAGAGCAUACUGAAGAAAAAGCCUGGUGGAGAGGUUGUCAUCAAGGAAUACUUCAAAACUAAAAGCCUGACUGACUGCACCAGAUGAAAGAUGAUCAACAUUCUUGUUUCAGCGAUGACAGACUCUCAUGGCUUACUGGGGACCAAUUCUGCUUGUGGAGACUCUGAUUGCUGGCUAAACACAACAUUAUAUUGUCAGGACAUCACCACCUCGCAGUGUGAGGAAAAACGUUUGCACAAGGCAUCAUAUCCUUGUUCCCAUACCCGAAGGAUCCCUACACCGCAAAUGGAUAUAUAACAAUACAUUUCAACUGAUAAAGGGCAUCUGCGUUUAAUUCGUCUGUGGAGAAGGGUACCUCUCGUAUGGAAUGAAAACCGUUCAGAGGAAUUUGGCUUCAUCUGAGAAACGGCCCACUCAACUAUACUCUGGAGGGCCAACUGCUGAGAGGGAGUCCAGUCCAUCCACUUUGGCUACCCUGAGUGAAGACCGGUGCAGAGAGGCCAUUUCGAAGGCAAUUUCUUUCUCACAAAACAUUCCAUUUUAACCUCAGAGUUUGAGUAAAUCACCAGCCUACACAUAAGAGAAAUGGCCUUAAUCGACAUCUACGGCACCCAGGGAACAGUGGGUUAACUGCCUUGCUCAGGGGCAGAACAACAGAUUUUUACCUUGUCAGCUCGGGGAUUUGAUCCAGCAUCCUUUCAGUUACUGGCCCAAUGCUCUAACCACUAGACUACCUGGGUGCAAAACUUUAAAUGUGUGAAGGGAUAAACUGAUAACAGAGCCUAAAAUCAUUCUCAACUCCACAACAUGGCCAUAUCCCAACUCUCCAUUCCUUGCCCCCUCUCCUUCCAGGUAACUGACCAGUGAAUUGACUGAAUACCCCCCACACAUACACCACAAAGUACCGAGUAAAGGGUCUGAAUGCUUAUGUAAAUGUAAUAUUUCAGUUCUCUAUUAUUUUAUUUUUUCCGAAAAUAAAAAAUAAACGUUUAUUUUUUAUUUUUGUCAUUAUGGGGUAUUGUGUGUCGAUUGACGACGGGGAAAAAACAAUUUAAUACAUUUUAGAAUACAGCUGUAACAUAAGAAAAUGUGGAAAAAGUCAAGGGGUCUGAAUACUUUCCGAAUUCACUGUGCAUCACUAUGAUUAAUGACUUCACAUUUAACUGGCUAGCUAGACACAAUUGUUACCUUGUAGCUACAACUUUUGAAAUACUCCUCUUCUUUUCGUACAAGCUCGGCUUGUUUCAAGUAUUUCUUUGAAUCCUGUAAAUAGAAACAUAAACUAACACCACAUCUCAACAAGAAGAUGCAAUGAUUACAACAUUUUAAUCUGACAAAUUAUAGCUAGCUAAACCAGCUGAGCUCUGAAACUACUGUAAACUAAAGUAGCUAGCUGGCAUGAGCUUGCCGCUAACCUCAGACACAUAGUGUGCAGGGCAAACCCGUUUUGGUGAUUUCGGCAGAGGCGGCUACAGAGGGGAGGACGGCUCAUAAUAAUGGCUGGAACGGCGCGAAUGGAAUGGUAUCAAACACAUGGAAACUAUUUGUUUGAUGUAUUUGAUACCAUUCCAGUGAUUCCGCUCCAGCCAUUACCACGAGCCCGUCCUCCCCAAUUCAGGUGCCACCAAUCUGUGGAUUUCUGGAAUAUCAUCAAAAUAAAUAAAUCACAGCACGUUUAGACUCAUUCUGCAGUUUUUACCUGAUUAACUACAAUCCCAUUGGAAAUUAAUUUUGAAAGUUUAUAUUUCUAAAUUCAAAAUGAUGCUGUCGCUGCUUUCUGUUGACAAGACAUUGAUAAAUAGCAGUGGCGACCCGUCAUACAGGGCAGUUGGGGCAGAGCAAAAACAGGUGGGGAGUUAGUUGCCUGUUUUGCAUGUUAUUUUGGCAUUAAUUCGUGUCACAUAUCAGUUUGCAAACAAUGUAAAAACAAAUGUAUUGAGUGAAUAAAGCUGCAUACAAACAUGAGCUCUUGCUUUCUUGAGUAAGGUAGCUCCAAAAUGCAAGUGUUUCAGCCUAGCUCAUGUUUGAUUUCUGUGGAAUCUGCAGGGAGAGCUAGGUAGUUCAAGCUCUGUUGGGUGCUGCUGUAACCUGUACCGGUACCUUUCUGCGUUGUGUUCUGGUGAGGUGUAGGUGGAAGAGAAGGGAAAGCUCUGGACACAAUUCUGCCGGUUGUCUCUCUUUUAA
RNAcentral lists this long non-coding RNA (2659 nucleotides) under Salmo salar (Atlantic salmon). RNAcentral describes it as "lncRNA (ENSSSAG00000110465.1)". The record is from RNAcentral. Lineage: Eukaryota; Metazoa; Chordata; Actinopteri; Salmoniformes; Salmonidae.